Drosophila ananassae is the source of this 600-nucleotide long non-coding RNA. RefSeq lists it as uncharacterized. The record is from RefSeq and is a predicted model, not a curated record. NCBI's taxonomy places the organism in Eukaryota, Metazoa, Arthropoda, Insecta, Diptera, Drosophilidae. The transcript has 2 exons.
UUUGCCAACCUUUCUAGGUUUUCAUUAUCGCCGAGAUACAAAUUUCCUACCCACCCGCCCACACAUCUCUCUCUUCAUAAUUCUAGCAAGCUGAUGCCUUGCGAAAAACAGCUUCCAACGGCCUAGCUGUAUUGGUUUCCACGGGAGUGGGUGUGUGUCGGUGUUAAUUGGUUUUGAAAAUAACAUUUUACAUGCUAGGGAUGGAUUUUGAUUAAUUGACUUUGAAACUUACAGACCCGAGACUCAAAAGGCUUCCCAUAUUUGACAUAAUCCACUUUUAAUGCAUCCAUGCACCAUGAAAUCUCAGGGAUCUGUGCAACAGAUUAGUUUAAUAGACACAAGGAAACUGCAUAUAUCCUGCACUGGAAAGGAUAUAAAGGGUCAACAUAUGCUAAAAUACAGUUGCCACCCCGAGCCAAUCUCUUCAAAUGUCAAAGUUGAAUGCACAAUAUGAAAGUCAGGGCACUUGAAAAAAUUCUAACAACUAAUAUUUAAUAUUAAUAAUUAAAAAUAUAAAUUUUGAAAGCAAAAAAUAAUAAAUAAUAUUUGUUAUACUGUUAAUUUAAAUUAGGAAAAUAAAACUUAUUUGUGGCAAUGAUA